UUAUAUGAGAGUUUGAUCCUGGCUCAGGACGAACGCUGGCGGCAUGCCUAAUACAUGCAAGUCGAACGCACGAAGUUGAAAAGCUUGCUUUUCGACCAAGUGAGUGGCGGACGGGUGAGUAACACGUGGGUAACCUGCCCAUAAGAGGGGGAUAACAUYCGGAAACGGAUGCUAAUACCGCAUAUUUCAAAUGACCGCAUGGUCGCUUGAUGAAAGGUGGCUUCGGCURCCGCUUAURGAUGGACCCGCGGUGCAUUAGUUAGUUGGUGAGGUAAUGGCUCACCAAGACAAUGAUGCAUAGCCGACCUGAGAGGGUGAUCGGCCACACUGGGACUGAGACACGGCCCAGACUCCUACGGGAGGCAGCAGUAGGGAAUCUUCCGCAAUGGACGAAAGUCUGACGGAGCAAUGCCGCGUGAGUGAAGAAGGUUUUCGGAUCGUAAAACUCUGUUGUUAGAGAAGAACAAGGAUGAGAGUA
This 478-nucleotide ribosomal RNA is filed under the name Carnobacterium divergens. Its description in RNAcentral is "bacterial SSU rRNA". Lineage: Bacteria; Bacillati; Bacillota; Bacilli; Lactobacillales; Carnobacteriaceae. The record is from RNAcentral.